UAGGGAAUUUUGCGCAAUGGACGGAAGUCUGACGCAGCAACGCCGCGUGAAGGAUGAAGGCCUUCGGGUUGUAAACUUCUGUUGGAUGGGAAAAAAAGCCUUUUAAGAGGAAUUGAUGGUACCAUUCGAGUAAGCACCGGCUAACUACGUGCCAGCAGCCGCGGUAAUACGUAGGGUGCGAGCGUUGUUCGGAAUCACUGGGCGUAAAGGGAGCGUAGGCGGAACUGUAAGUUAGAAGUUUAAUACAUGGGCUCAACCCGUGGUCUGCUUUUAAUACUGCGGUUCUUGAGUAUGGGAGAGGGCGAUGGAAUUCCAGGUGUAGCGGUGGAAUGCGUAGAUAUCUGGAAGAACACCAGUAGCGAAGGCGGUCGCCUGGCCCAAUACUGACGCUGAGGCUCGAAAGCUGGGGGAGCAAACAGG
This 420-nucleotide ribosomal RNA is filed under the name uncultured bacterium. Its description in RNAcentral is "bacterial SSU rRNA". It matches the Rfam family "Bacterial small subunit ribosomal RNA", at positions 355 to 776 of the family's 1533-position model. RNAcentral also lists the same sequence under 2 other names. The record is from RNAcentral.